UACGUAGGGGGCAAGCGUUGUUCGGAUUUAUUGGGCGUAAAGGGCAUGUAGGCUGUGAUACAAGUGUGAGUUUAAAGACUAAAGCUUAACUUUAUGUUUGGCUUGCAAACUGUAUUACUUGAGUGCAGGAGGGGAGACUGGAAUUCCACGUGUAGGGGUGAAAUCUGUAGAGAUGUGGAAGAAUACCAAUGGCGAAGGCAAGUCUCUGGCCUGUAACUGACGCUGAAAUGCGAAAGUGCGGGGAG
RNAcentral lists this ribosomal RNA (245 nucleotides) under uncultured bacterium. Its description in RNAcentral is "partial 16S ribosomal RNA". It matches the Rfam family "Bacterial small subunit ribosomal RNA", at positions 524 to 768 of the family's 1533-position model. The record is from RNAcentral.